GCCUUGCUAGCUCAGAUGAUAGAGCAUGAGAUUCUUAAUCUCAGGGUUGUGGGUUCAAGCCCCACAGUGGGCA
This is a non-coding RNA of Myxocyprinus asiaticus (Chinese sucker), 73 nucleotides long. NCBI's taxonomy places the organism in Eukaryota, Metazoa, Chordata, Actinopteri, Cypriniformes, Catostomidae. The record is from the annotation of a RefSeq genome assembly.